AUUCAUCUUUUACCACACUGCAAGGGACAGAGGCAAUUUUUCUCCCAGGAUUCAGGACUAAAGUAGAUGAUCUUCUGGACUUCUCUGUGACAUUUCACUGAAAUUGCAUUUCACCGAAAACAAACAAGCAAACAAAAAUCUUCCUUUUGAGAAGAUAAUCCCCAGAAGUUAAAAGAAAGAGUAGUAGUCCAGUUGGAAGUUGCAAAAAAAUGUUCAACUUCUUUCUGAAGAUCCCCCUUUUAGUGGCUUUUCACUGAUGUCUGUGAGGGGUAAACUCUCUCAGUCAAGAAUGGAUCCAUUUUCAAGACUAUUUAUUCAUUCAUUCAUUCAUUCAUUCAUUCAGAGAUAGGGUCUCACUCUGUCGCCCAGGCUGUAGUACAGUGGCACAAUCAUGGCUAACUUCAGCCUCCACCUCCCUGGCUCAAGCAAUCCUCCCACCUUAGCCUCCUGAGUAGCUGGGACCACAGGCGCCUGCCACCAUGCCCGGCUAGUUUUUUACAUUUUUUGUAGAGACAAGGCCUCCCUGUGUUGCCCAGGCUGGUCUCAAACUCCUGCGCUCUAGCAGUCCUCCUUCCUUGGCCUCCCAAAGUGCUGGGAUUACAGGCGUGAACCACUGCACCUGGCCUGGGUACAUUUUUCUUGGGGCCUGAAACUGAUGCCAUUUUGGAUCCUCUUUAGGAAAAAUAAUACAAACUAUGAAUAUAAAAUUAAGAAUGAAAAUAUUGACAAUGAGAAAAAAAUCACUACAAAUUAUAAAGUUGGAAAUGCUGACAAAUAAAACAAACAUAAAAAAAUCCA
Homo sapiens (human) is the source of this 798-nucleotide long non-coding RNA. RefSeq lists it as uncharacterized. The transcript has 2 exons. The record is from RefSeq and is a predicted model, not a curated record. Lineage: Eukaryota; Metazoa; Chordata; Mammalia; Primates; Hominidae.